CUUCAACGAGCCGAGCCACAACGGCUUCUGCGGGUCCCGGUCCCGGCCGUACGUCGCGAGCAGCGCCUGCGCCUC
Molecule: non-coding RNA, 75 nt
Organism: Streptomyces sp.
Lineage: Bacteria; Bacillati; Actinomycetota; Actinomycetes; Kitasatosporales; Streptomycetaceae
Rfam family: ASpks TB sRNA
Source: Rfam